Molecule: transfer RNA, 72 nt
Filed under: Bos taurus (domestic cattle)
Lineage: Eukaryota; Metazoa; Chordata; Mammalia; Artiodactyla; Bovidae
Also listed under: 5 other names
Rfam family: tRNA
About the family: Transfer RNA (tRNA) molecules are approximately 80 nucleotides in length. Their secondary structure includes four short double-helical elements and three loops (D, anti-codon, and T loops).
Source: Rfam by way of RNAcentral
UCCCUUGUGUCUCAGCUGGUAAAGAAUCCGUCUGUGAAGCGGGAGACCUGGGUUUGAUCCCUGGAUUGGGAA